UGAAUACGAGAUGCUACGGCGUCGAAGCAGUCUAUGUCAUACUUCCAAGAAAAGCUCGCACUGUCAUAAACAAAUAAUGCCUGUACCAUAACCGACACAGGUGGGUAGGUAGAGUAUACUAAGGGGCGCGAGAUAACUCUCUCUAAGGAACUCGGCAAAAUGACUCCGUAACUUCGGGAGAAGGAGUGCCUUAUUUAUAAGGUUGCAAUAACAAGAUCCAAGCAACUGUUUUUCAAAAACACAGGUCUCCGCUAAGUCGUAAGACGAUGUAUGGGGGCUGACGCCUGCCCAGUGCCAGAAGGUUAAAGAAGUUGGUUAGCAUUCGCGAAGCUGAUAACUGAAGCCCUGGUGAACGGCGGCCGUAACGAUAACGGUCCUAAGGUAGCGAAAUUCCUUGUCGGGUAAGUUCCGACCCGCACGAAAGGCGUAAUGAUUUGGAUACUGUCUCGGAGAGGGGCUCGGUGAAAUAGACUUGUCUGUGAAGAUGCGGACUACCUGCACCAGGACAGAAAGACCCUAUGAAGCUUUACUGUAACUUGAGAUUGAAAUUGGACUUUACUUGCGCAGUAUAGGUGGGAGGCGUUGAUAAUAUUCUUGCGGGAUUAUUUGAGCCAUCAGUGAGAUACCACUCUUGUAAUGUUAGAUUUCUAACUUUGUAUCAUUAUCUGGUCAAAGGACAGUUUCAGGCGGGCAGUUUGACUGGGGCGGUCGCCUCCUAAACGGUAACGGAGGCGCACAAAGGUUUCCUCUGAACGGGUAGAAAUCGUAUCUAGAGUGUAAAGGCAUAAGGAAGCUUGACUGUGAGACCUACAAGUCGAGCAGGGACGAAAGUCGGUCUUAGUGAUCUGACGGUGCUGAGUGGAAAGGCCGUCACUCAACGGAUAAAAGUUACUCUAAGGAUAACAGGCUGAUCUCCCCCAAGAGUUCACAUCGACGGGGAGGUUUGGCACCUCGAUGUCGGCUCAUCGCAUCCUGGGGCGGUAGUACGUCCCAAGGGUUGGGCUGUUCGCCCAUGAAAGCGGUACGCGAGCUGGGUUCAGAACGUCGUGAGUCAGUUCGGUCCAUAUCCGGUGUAGGCGUUAGAAUAUUGAGAGGAGCCUUCUUUAGUACGAGAGGACCGAGAAGGACAUACCUCUGGUGUACCAGUUAUCGUGCCGACGGUAAACGCUGGGUAGCUAUGUAUGGAGUGGAUAACCGCUGAAAGCACCUAAGUGGGAAGCCCACCUCAAGAUAAGUAUUCUCAC
This 1244-nucleotide ribosomal RNA is filed under the name metagenome. RNAcentral's name for it is "bacterial LSU rRNA". It matches the Rfam family "Bacterial large subunit ribosomal RNA", at positions 1564 to 2817 of the family's 2925-position model. The record is from RNAcentral.